AUGGAUGGGCACCGAAAGCUAAUGGAUGGGCACCGCCAGCAACAACCAAAUCAAAUUCCUAGGGUAUCAAGUGGCUACCUCGUGCCGACCCUCAGCCGUCGCGCCACCGCGGCGCCUCGCCGCCGGCUCAACGCUUCCGAUGGUUGCGCCCCGCGGCGGAAGGGGAGGCGGCCUCGCGUCGCCGCGGCCGGAGGUGGGGGAGGGGGGCGGUGGCAAACGGUGGCCACGGUUGGCACGGCCAGAGCCCAGGGCCCAUUUGGGCAAGCGUCUCGAGCCGUCGCCGACCUGCAGCCCAAUAAGGUUUGCACGCUCACUAGCUCAGUUGUCUCGCCGGAAGAAACUUCAAGACAGCUACAGCAAGAUCGCAUGAUAUGCCUGCAACGAAAUGAUGAAGAAAGUGGUGCGCCAACUGCUAUCCUCACAGAUGACAGGGGUCCGUUUAUAGCAGUGCAAUCUUGCUCGCCCUUCAGCGAGUCUGAAGCCAGGACUCGCUGUCGCGUGCCUCGGCGAUUCCUAUACGACGCGCGCGAGCGUCAAGGUGUGGCCGCUUCACUGAAGCAAAGCGACCGAUCGACAAGAUAUGGACCGGCCCACUUGAGCGAGGAACUGGUUUUGGGACCUUCCAGAAGGGAGGCUCUAACCCUAGCUGAGGACCUUCAGUUGACAAAUCUCACAGUCAAGGAUGAGUCGGAAACAGAAUUGAAAAAGGAAAGGCAAAAGUGCGAUCCUAUUUACACGCAUCGUAUGCUUCAUACGCCGCCAUACAAACAUAGCAACUCCGAUCGUCGAGAUCACGUCGGCCGGAAGGAGAUGGAAGCGACGACGACGGCGGCCACGCUCCCGAACGACGUCAUCCUGGAGAUCCUCGCACGUCUGCCAGACGAGGCUGUGCUCUUCCGAUGCGCGGCGACGUGCAAGCUGUGGAGUACCCUAGUGGCCGACCCUUCGUUCCUCCGCCGCCCAACGGGCAAAUCCCUCGUGCAAUCAUGGAGCACGUUCCCAGGGGACCACGGUCGGCGUCGUCCGGCCUCCGCCGUCGACCCCUCGGAUCCUUGCCCCCCCGAAGCCGACGGCCUCUUCGAUCGCGCGAAGCCGGUCGCCUCGCGCGGCGGUCUCCUCCUCCUGCACUUCGUCCCGCGCCACGCCCGCGUCCACCACCACUCGCCCCCGACCUCCAGCCACUUCGCCGUGUGCAACUUGCUUGCCGGCUCGUGGGAGGUGCUUCCCCCACUGCGGCAAAAGUCGAUCUACGACGGCGUCGAACUGGAGGGCUCUGGCAUUCUAGCGGGGGCGGACUUCUGCUCCGGCGGCCAACAGCAGCGACGGCGGCCAUUGCGGGGCUUCUCGGCCCUAUUCAAAGUGCUACUCAUCGGCGGCAGCUACGAUGGAGCGCGCCAUUACCUUUACACGUUCUCGUCCGACCAGCCGAGCUGGAGCGCGCCCAGUAGCUUCCAGGACUGUGUGAAGCACCACAAUGGCUUAACGAUGGCCCAGCAGAGCGCCGUCGUGCGACGGGGCACGGCGCACUGGCUCUGCUGGGACUUUUCAGACAUGUACAGCGUCGACGUGAACGCCGAGACCGGCCGAUCCUCCUUGGCGAAUCUUCGCGUCCCCGCUGGAGCAUGCUACUACUUCCUCCCUUACAGUACGCCGAAACUUGUCGUCGACGUCGACGGGGCGCUCCAGCUGGUCCCCCUACACAUCGAAGGACUCUGGGUAGAGACCUGGACACGACAAGACGGCGGAGAUCAGAGCAUCGACAGCGGGAGUGCAGACUGGCUCCGCACACGGAUGGUCGAGAUAGAACAACCCAAGCAAAAGUUGACUGAAAGAGCGGACUGUGUUUGCGUUGGAGAGAAAAGUUGCACCAAGACGGGAGAGCGCUCCUGGCCGACCUUGAGACUGGGGCGGCGGAGGAGAUGA
Molecule: ribosomal RNA, 1923 nt
Filed under: Triticum aestivum (bread wheat)
Lineage: Eukaryota; Viridiplantae; Streptophyta; Magnoliopsida; Poales; Poaceae
Description: partial small subunit ribosomal RNA
Source: RNAcentral